GGAUGGAUGUCUGAGCGGUUGAAAGAGUCGGUCUUGAAAGCCGAAGUAUUGAUAGGAAUACUGAUGGUUCGAAUCCCUCUCCAUCCG
This 87-nucleotide transfer RNA is filed under the name Oryza punctata. It matches the Rfam family "tRNA". Rfam says of the family: Transfer RNA (tRNA) molecules are approximately 80 nucleotides in length. Their secondary structure includes four short double-helical elements and three loops (D, anti-codon, and T loops). The record is from Rfam by way of RNAcentral. Lineage: Eukaryota; Viridiplantae; Streptophyta; Magnoliopsida; Poales; Poaceae.